GUUCACAAACCUGACAUCACUUCGGACUGUUUGUCUGAGACUGCAGAGAGUUCUGGAAAAAGGAGAUAACAA
Molecule: long non-coding RNA, 72 nt
Filed under: Sinocyclocheilus anshuiensis
Lineage: Eukaryota; Metazoa; Chordata; Actinopteri; Cypriniformes; Cyprinidae
Description: lncRNA (ENSSANG00000023562.1)
Source: RNAcentral